Molecule: ribosomal RNA, 1445 nt
Filed under: metagenome
Description: bacterial SSU rRNA
Rfam family: Bacterial small subunit ribosomal RNA
Source: RNAcentral
CGAACGGUAACAGGAAGCAGCUUGCUGCUUCGCUGACGAGUGGCGGACGGGUGAGUAAUGUCUGGGAAGCUGCCUGAUGGAGGGGGAUAACUACUGGAAACGGUAGCUAAUACCGCAUAAUGUCGCAAGACCAAAGAGGGGGACCUUCGGGCCUCUUGCCAUCGGAUGUGCCCAGAUGGGAUUAGCUUGUUGGUGGGGUAACGGCUCACCAAGGCGACGAUCCCUAGCUGGUCUGAGAGGAUGACCAGCCACACUGGAACUGAGACACGGUCCAGACUCCUACGGGAGGCAGCAGUGGGGAAUAUUGCACAAUGGGCGCAAGCCUGAUGCAGCCAUGCCGCGUGUAUGAAGAAGGCCUUCGGGUUGUAAAGUACUUUCAGCGGGAAGGAAGGGAGUAAAGUUAAUACCUUUGCUCAUUGACGUUACCCGCAGAAGAAGCACCGGCUAACUCCGUGCCAGCAGCCGCGGUAAUACGGAGGGUGCAAGCGUUAAUCGGAAUUACUGGGCGUAAAGCGCACGCAGGCGGUUUGUUAAGUCAGAUGUGAAAUCCCCGGGCUCAACCUGGGAACUGCAUCUGAUACUGGCAAGCUUGAGUCUCGUAGAGGGGGGUAGAAUUCCAGGUGUAGCGGUGAAAUGCGUAGAGAUCUGGAGGAAUACCGGUGGCGAAGGCGGCCCCCUGGACGAAGACUGACGCUCAGGUGCGAAAGCGUGGGGAGCAAACAGGAUUAGAUACCCUGGUAGUCCACGCCGUAAACGAUGUCGACUUGGAGGUUGUGCCCUUGAGGCGUGGCUUCCGGAGCUAACGCGUUAAGUCGACCGCCUGGGGAGUACGGCCGCAAGGUUAAAACUCAAAUGAAUUGACGGGGGCCCGCACAAGCGGUGGAGCAUGUGGUUUAAUUCGAUGCAACGCGAAGAACCUUACCUGGUCUUGACAUCCACGGAAGUUUUCAGAGAUGAGAAUGUGCCUUCGGGAACCGUGAGACAGGUGCUGCAUGGCUGUCGUCAGCUCGUGUUGUGAAAUGUUGGGUUAAGUCCCGCAACGAGCGCAACCCUUAUCCUUUGUUGCCAGCGGUCCGGCCGGGAACUCAAAGGAGACUGCCAGUGAUAAACUGGAGGAAGGUGGGGAUGACGUCAAGUCAUCAUGGCCCUUACGACCAGGGCUACACACGUGCUACAAUGGCGCAUACAAAGAGAAGCGACCUCGCGAGAGCAAGCGGACCUCAUAAAGUGCGUCGUAGUCCGGAUUGGAGUCUGCAACUCGACUCCAUGAAGUCGGAAUCGCUAGUAAUCGUGGAUCAGAAUGCCACGGUGAAUACGUUCCCGGGCCUUGUACACACCGCCCGUCACACCAUGGGAGUGGGUUGCAAAAGAAGUAGGUAGCUUAACCUUCGGGAGGGCGCUUACCACUUUGUGAUUCAUGACUGGGGUGAAGUCGUAACAAGGUA